This 44-nucleotide ribosomal RNA is filed under the name Armillaria ostoyae. RNAcentral describes it as "partial 5.8S ribosomal RNA". It matches the Rfam family "5.8S ribosomal RNA", at positions 1 to 43 of the family's 154-position model. Rfam says of the family: 5.8S ribosomal RNA (5.8S rRNA) is a component of the large subunit of the eukaryotic ribosome. It is transcribed by RNA polymerase I as part of the 45S precursor that also contains 18S and 28S rRNA. The record is from RNAcentral. Lineage: Eukaryota; Fungi; Basidiomycota; Agaricomycetes; Agaricales; Physalacriaceae. RNAcentral also lists the same sequence under 1 other name.
CAACUUUCAACAACGGAUCUCUUGGCUCUCGCAUCGAUGAAGAA